Long non-coding RNA from Dermacentor albipictus, 759 nucleotides. RefSeq lists it as uncharacterized. Lineage: Eukaryota; Metazoa; Arthropoda; Arachnida; Ixodida; Ixodidae. The record is from RefSeq and is a predicted model, not a curated record.
GCUAUCGCCGCUACGUCAUUUCCUGCGUCUCGCGGCGGGCCGCCGGGAGCACAUGUGUGUGUUCUCCGUGACAUUCUUGAAGUUGUGAGUAAUUAGAUUGUUUUUUGCUGCGUUUAGGUUGUACCACCUCGUUGUUUUCGUGUACUUUUGUGCUCAUCGACGCGAAGUGAGCGUCCGGAGUGAAGGCGACGCGAUUAUGCGUGAGAAAGAAGGGCACCAGCGGCCUACGACAUCGGUGUUUCUUUGUGACAGUGUGUUUACUACGCCUACGACGGCCGUCAUUCGUGGCGAAGGAGAAAACAUCUUCCAUUCGGCCUGAACAGUGAUGAAGUGGACGUUUUGUUUUUCGGUGGAAUGCAUCGUCAACAUGGUCCAUCCACUACGUAAACGAAACGGCGUGCCCAGAGUACAGAUCGUGACAGCGCUCCGCCUUCAAACCGAGGGCCUUUUGCAAGGCGCAUGAACUGCUCAUAUAAAAGUUGCAGUUAGCAUGAAGCAAUUGCAUGGGAACCGACUGGCCGUCUUCGGCCUACACGUUGCUGAAAAGACAGUGAAGACGUCUGACCCGACAGGUAGAAAAGAAGCAGAUGGCUACAGUGAUCAAUGAAGAAAUGGCUUCAUCUAUGAUGGCUCGCCUUAGGACAUUGGAAUGGAGCUACAAAAAGGCAUCAUCAUCCUCGCCUGUGCCCUGGAACUUUGGUUUGAAUGAGACUGUUCUUCAAUGUAGAAUGGCCGCAAGACUUGUCACCACAAGGCAUA